This 449-nucleotide ribosomal RNA is filed under the name uncultured bacterium. RNAcentral describes it as "bacterial SSU rRNA". It matches the Rfam family "Bacterial small subunit ribosomal RNA", at positions 30 to 511 of the family's 1533-position model. The record is from RNAcentral.
AUUGAACGCUGGCGGCAUGGCUAAAACAUGCAAGUCGAGCGCGAAAGUGGAGCAAUCCAUGAGUAGAGCGGCGAAAGGGUGAGUAAUAGGUUUCUACGUGCCUUGAGGUCGAGGAUAGCCAGGGGAAACUCUGGGUAAUACUCGAUGUGAUCGAGAGAUCAAAGGCUUGCCGCCUCAAGAGCGGGGAACCUCCUAUCAGGUAGUUGGUGAGGUAACGGCUCACCAAGCCUUUGACGGGUAGCGGGUGUGAGAGCAUGGCCCGCCACAUCGAAACUGAGACACUGUUCGGACUCCUACGGGAGGCUGCAGUAACGAAUCUUCCGCAAUGCGCGAAAGCGUGACGGAGCAAUGCCGCGUGCAGGAUGAAGCCCCUCGGGGUGUAAACUGCUGUCAGGGAUUAGGAAGCAAGUGACCAAUCCCAAAGGAAGAGACGACUAACUCUGUGCCAG